GAGGGGCCGGGCCGGGGGGGGGGGGGGGGUGUCGGGAGCAGGCUGCGAGGGAGGGCGAACGGCAGGAGGGGGCGGGGACACCUGAUCAGGGCCACCGGAAAGGAAAAACAACUUCAGCCAAGCUAUUCAUCUUCCCAAAGGCGUUGCAGUCAGCUGGGGGAGGGGGAGGGGACGCCGGGGGUGCGGGGCAGCCAGGGCUUCCUGGGCUUGGAAAUGCUACUCCUUCAAUUCGCCCGUCAUUACGGUGCAGGAACGUGAACGUGGCUUUUUGCUUCGCCACCGACUGCGCUGUUGGUUUGGACCAGAGAAAGGAAAGAGAAAGAGAAUUCGCGUGCCACGGUAAAACAUUCACUGAGGCCCUUGCCGAGGACACCAUCUGUCCUGGGGUGAGGACGUGUUUCUGAUGGCACAGCAGAAGCCUUCUGCCCUCCAAGCUCCUGGCUCUCCCACAGCCCUCUUGCAACCAGAGAACUUGAGCAAACAUCUGACCUGUGACCAGGGAUGUGAACUGUUCCUUUGGAUGCUGGAGAAUAGUGACAAGUCAGCUGGGACUUUGAGAGGGAAUACAAGCUGCACACCUGGCCAAAGACCAUCAACGGUCAAAACGUAGAACAUUUAGUGGCUUUGUUCGUUUUUCUUCUAGAUGGGCAUCCACAGAAGAAAGAGCAUUAUAAACAUUAGUAAUAAAAUGGAAAUAUUUUAUCUCAUAAAGAGGAAGAGAGCAAAAUGAAAUGCAGCCUGUAGAAUGAUGGAAGUGAGUUUCUCUUAAAACUAAGUGUUUCUUUUUUUAAAUUUGUUUUUGUUGUUUGGUUGGUGAUAUCACAUGUAAUGUGCCCAUUAGAGGACAACACAAAAAUAGGAAGACAGGACAAUAUCAUGUAUGUCUCACUGCCCCCAAAGGAAUUGCUUUGAACAUUUCGAUGAGUUUUUUCUAGGUGCCAGUUUCAUUCUUAU
RNAcentral lists this long non-coding RNA (954 nucleotides) under Lynx canadensis (Canada lynx). RNAcentral describes it as "lncRNA (ENSLCNG00005015330.1)". The record is from RNAcentral. Lineage: Eukaryota; Metazoa; Chordata; Mammalia; Carnivora; Felidae.